GACGAACGCUGGCGGCGUGCUUAACACAUGCAAGUCGAACGGAAAGGCCCCUUUGGGGGUCCUCGAGUGGCGAACGGGUGAGUAACACGUGAGUAACCUGCCCUUGACUUCGGGAUAACUUCAGGAAACUGGGGCUAAUACCGGAUAGGAAUCCUUGCUGCAUGGGGGGGGUUGGAAAGCUUCGGCGGUUUUGGAUGGACUCGCGGCUUAUCCGCUUGUUGGUGGGGUAGUGGCUUACCAAGGCUUUGACGGGUAGCCGGCCUGAGAGGGCGACCGGCCACAUUGGGACUGAGAUACGGCCCAGACUCCUACGGGAGGCAGCAGUGGGGAAUAUUGCACAAUGGGCGGCAGCCUGAUGCAGCAACGCCGCGUGCGGGAUGACGGCCUUCGGGUUGUAAACCGCUUUCAGCAGGGGCGAAGCUUGUGGUGACGGUACCUGCAGAAGAAGCACCGGCUAACUACGUG
This 465-nucleotide ribosomal RNA is filed under the name uncultured bacterium. RNAcentral describes it as "partial 16S ribosomal RNA". It matches the Rfam family "Bacterial small subunit ribosomal RNA", at positions 28 to 507 of the family's 1533-position model. The record is from RNAcentral.